RNAcentral lists this ribosomal RNA (493 nucleotides) under Staphylococcus aureus. RNAcentral describes it as "partial 23S ribosomal RNA". It matches the Rfam family "Bacterial large subunit ribosomal RNA", at positions 1 to 533 of the family's 2925-position model. Lineage: Bacteria; Bacillati; Bacillota; Bacilli; Caryophanales; Staphylococcaceae. The record is from RNAcentral.
GGUUAAGCGACUAAGCGUACACGGUGGAUGCCCUGGCAGUCAGAGGCGAUGAAGGACGUGCUAAUCUGCGAUAAGCGUCGGUAAGGUGAUAUGAACCGUUAUAACCGGCGAUUUCCGAAUGGGGAAACCCAGUGUGAUUCGUCACACUAUCAUUAACUGAAUCCAUAGGUUAAUGAGGCGAACCGGGGGAACUGAAACAUCUAAGUACCCCGAGGAAAAGAAAUCAACCGAGAUUCCCCCAGUAGCGGCGAGCGAACGGGGAGGAGCCCAGAGCCUGAAUCAGUGUGUGUGUUAGUGGAAGCGUCUGGAAAGGCGCGCGAUACAGGGUGACAGCCCCGUACACAAAAAUGCACAUGCUGUGAGCUCGAUGAGUAGGGCGGGACACGUGGUAUCCUGUCUGAAUAUGGGGGGACCAUCCUCCAAGGCUAAAUACUCCUGACUGACCGAUAGUGAACCAGUACCGUGAGGGAAAGGCGAAAAGAACCCCGGCGAG